CCUACGGGAGGCAGCAGUGAGGAAUAUUGGUCAAUGGGCGAGAGCCUGAACCAGCCAAGUCGCGUGAGGGAGUACUGCCCUAUGGGUUGUAAACCUCUUUUGUCGGGGAGCAAAAGCCGGACGUGUCCGGCUGUGAGAGUACCCGAAGAAAAAGCAUCGGCAAACUCCGUGCCAGCAGCCGCGGUAAUACGGAGGAGGCGAGCGUUAUCCGGAUUUAUUGGGUUUAAAGGGUGCGCAGGCGGAUGUUUAAGUCAGCGGUAAAAUCGUGGGGCCAAACCCCAUCCAGCCGUGGAAACUGGGGAUCUAGAGUGUGCGAGAGGUAUGCGGAAUGCGUGGUGUAGCGGUGAAAUGCAUAGAUAUCACGCAGAACCCCGAUUGCGAAGGCAGCAUACCGGUGCACAACUGACGCUCAGGCACGAAAGCGUGGGUAUCGAACAGGAUUAGAUACCCCUGUAGUC
RNAcentral lists this ribosomal RNA (458 nucleotides) under uncultured bacterium. RNAcentral describes it as "partial 16S ribosomal RNA". It matches the Rfam family "Bacterial small subunit ribosomal RNA", at positions 338 to 795 of the family's 1533-position model. The record is from RNAcentral.